GCAGUGGGGAAUCUUGCACAAUGGGCGAAAGCCUGAUGCAGCCAUGCCGCGUGAAUGAUGAAGGCCCUAGGGUUGUAAAAUUCUUUCAUCAGGGACGAUAAUGACGGUACCUGAAGAAGAAGCCCCGGCUAACUUCGUGCCAGCAGCCGCGGUAAUACGAAGGGGGCUAGCGUUGUUCGGAAUUACUGGGCGUAAAGCGCGCGUAGGCGGACUGGUAAGUCAGAUGUGAAAUCCCGGGGCUCAACCUCGGAACUGCAUUUGAAACUGUUAGUCUAGAGGCCAGGAGAGGUUAGUGGAAUGCCGAGUGUAGAGGUGAAAUUCGUAGAUAUUCGGUGGAACACCAGUGGCGAAGGCGACUGACUGGACUGGUACUGACGCUGAGGCGCGAAAGUGUGGGGAGCAAACAGGAUUAGAUACCCUGGUAGUCCACACCGUAAACGUUGAGUGCUAGUUGUCGGCAGGCAUGCCUGUCGGUGACGCAGCUAACGCAUUAAGCACUCCGCCUGGGGAGUACGGCCGCAAGGUUAAAACUCAAAGAAAUUGACGGGGGCCCGCACAAGCGAUGGAGCAUGUGGUUUAAUUCGAAGCAACGCGCAGAACCUUACCUACCCUUGACAUGCCCGGUCUGGUUGCCAGAGAUGGCUUCCUUGAUUCGUUCGCCGGUGCACAGGUGCUGCAUGGCUGUCGUCAGCUCGUGUCGUGAGAUGUUGGGUUAAGUCCCGCAACGAGCGCAACCCUCAUCCUUAGUUGCCAUCAGGUUUGGCUGGGCACUCUAAGGAAACUGCCGGUGGCAAGCCGGAGGAAGGUGGGGAUGACGUCAAGUCCUCAUGGCCCUUACGGGUAGGGCUACACACGUGCUACAAUGGCAGUGACAAUGGGAUAAUCCCAAAAAACUGUCUCAGUUCGGAUUGUCGUCUGCAACUCGACGGCAUGAAGUUGGAAUCGCUAGUAAUCGUGGAUCAGCAUGCCACGGUGAUACGUUCCCGGGCAUUGUACACACCGCCCGUCACAUCAUGGGAGUUGGUUCUACC
RNAcentral lists this ribosomal RNA (1031 nucleotides) under uncultured organism. RNAcentral describes it as "bacterial SSU rRNA". It matches the Rfam family "Bacterial small subunit ribosomal RNA", at positions 351 to 1421 of the family's 1533-position model. The record is from RNAcentral.